GGGGGGAAUGGGAGCUUGCUCCUGAUGUUAGCGGCGGACGGGUGAGUAACACGUGGGUAACCUGCCUGUAAGACUGGGAUAACUCCGGGAAACCGGGGCUAAUACCGGAUGGUUGUCUGAACCGCAUGGUUCAGACAUAAAAGGUGGCUUCGGCUACCACUUACAGAUGGACCCGCGGCGCAUUAGCUAGUUGGUGAGGUAACGGCUCACCAAGGCGACGAUGCGUAGCCGACCUGAGAGGGUGAUCGGCCACACUGGGACUGAGACACGGCCCAGACUCCUACGGGAGGCAGCAGUAGGGAAUCUUCCGCAAUGGACGAAAGUCUGACGGAGCAACGCCGCGUGAGUGAUGAAGGUUUUCGGAUCGUAAAGCUCUGUUGUUAGGGAAGAACAAGUGCCGUUCAAAUAGGGCGGCACCUUGACGGUACCUAACCAGAAAGCCACGGCUAACUACGUGCCAGCAGCCGCGGUAAUACGUAGGUGGCAAGCGUUGUCCGGAAUUAUUGGGCGUAAAGGGCUCGCAGGCGGUUUCUUAAGUCUGAUGUGAAAGCCCCCGGCUCAACCGGGGAGGGUCAUUGGAAACUGGGGAACUUGAGUGCAGAAGAGGAGAGUGGAAUUCCACGUGUAGCGGUGAAAUGCGUAGAGAUGUGGAGGAACACCAGUGGCGAAGGCGACUCUCUGGUCUGUAACUGACGCUGAGGAGCGAAAGCGUGGGGAGCGAACAGGAUUAGAUACCCUGGUAGUCCACGCCGUAAACGAUGAGUGCUAAGUGUUAGGGGGUUUCCGCCCCUUAGUGCUGCAGCUAACGCAUUAAGCACUCCGCCUGGGGAGUACGGUCGCAAGACUGAAACUCAAAGGAAUUGACGGGGGCCCGCACAAGCGGUGGAGCAUGUGGUUUAAUUCGAAGCAACGCGAAGAACCUUACCAGGUCUUGACAUCCUCUGACAAUCCUAGAGAUAGGACGUCCCCUUCGGGGGCAGAGUGACAGGUGGUGCAUGGUUGUCGUCAGCUCGUGUCGUGAGAUGUUGGGUUAAGUCCCGCAACGAGCGCAACCCUUGAUCUUAGUUGCCAGCAUUCAGUUGGGCACUCUAAGGUGACUGCCGGUGACAAACCGGAGGAAGGUGGGGAUGACGUCAAAUCAUCAUGCCCCUUAUGACCUGGGCUACACACGUGCUACAAUGGACAGAACAAAGGGCAGCGAAACCGCGAGGUUAAGCCAAUCCCACAAAUCUGUUCUCAGUUCGGAUCGCAGUCUGCAACUCGACUGCGUGAAGCUGGAAUCGCUAGUAAUCGCGGAUCAGCAGCGCGUACGAC
This 1314-nucleotide ribosomal RNA is filed under the name Bacillus sp. TS8. Its description in RNAcentral is "bacterial SSU rRNA". It matches the Rfam family "Bacterial small subunit ribosomal RNA", at positions 65 to 1367 of the family's 1533-position model. The record is from RNAcentral. Lineage: Bacteria; Bacillati; Bacillota; Bacilli; Caryophanales; Bacillaceae.